GCUGAGCCCAAGGGCGUGGGCCACGGCAUGGGGUGGGGGGCUGUGGACGGAACUCCCGAGGCGAGGGGACCUCAUGUGCCCACACAUGGGGGCUUUCCUCUUAAGGUGCUGGGAGGCCGGAGCAGGGAUGGCGUGACUCCAGCUGUCCCACGGGUCUUUGUUACCAGGGGGUGGAGUAGAGUCAGGAGGCAGGAGCCGAGGGAGGAAGACAGCUUCCAGGAGCCUCUGGCGGCUCCACAGGCACCUCAGGCUCCCGAGAAUACCAGGAAGGAAGGAAUGACAUCUCUUUGUUAGAUGCGGAAACCAAGCCUUGAAAACCAAAUGACCCACCCAAGACUGGACAUUAGGAUGAAGCGGGGUUCGAACCCGGCUCUAAAGCUCCCGGCGUUCAGUCUUGCUGGCGAGGUGGGCUUGCCAGGCUGGCCCCAGGACCACCCCCCAGGCCACUGGGCUCCUCUCAUCAUUGUCCAUCCGGUAAGCCAGCCAACUCAUCCGACAUCAUCUGCCUGAGCCCCGGUCGUCUCCCCAUCGACCCUGUCCCCCCCCCACCCCCCGGCCGGCUGCCCUGGGCUCCCAGCUUCCGAGUUGCCUGGGCGAAGAAGACAAACACCCGAGAAAGCAUACACAACGUUUAUUGAGCUCUUCCGGUGAGCUGGACCUGAGCCGAGGGCUGGACACGGAGGCUCCCGUUUAAUCCGUCCGAUGUCCCUAGGAGGUAGGUAUUCCUGCUGUCCCCAUUCUACCAAAUGGGAAACAGGGACCUGGAGAGGUGAGUGUCCAGAAGGAAAGGAAGGAGGGCAUCUGGGCUGCAGACUCAGCUCGAGCUGACCCACAGGUCCCCACUCUUAACCAGAGAUGGGACGACCCCAGAGUGCCCCUGAAACCUGUCCCGCCCUGCGGGUUAGGGGCAGGGACAGAGGGCUCUGUGCCAGCCGAGCAGUAUCUGUUACACCCCUGUGACCUGUGCCAUCACAAUCGGCCCCAGCUAUAUAACCAGGGGCUGCCAGGGCCUCUGUAAAUCUGGACGUGCCGGAAAAGCAGGAGGGGAGGCCUCUGCCCCUCCAGACGUGGCCUCCCAUGGACACCAAAGCACAGGGCCUCCCUGUCACCCACUCUCAGCCCCACAGCAACUCUCGGCCCCAAAGCCACACCUGCAGCCAGUGCGACUGCAGCCACCACUGCCAGAACUGUAGCCAGAGUUUCGCCACUGGCCGCUGCAGCCAGAGGUCAAGCCCCAACGUGCCAAAGCAUCACAGUCACACCACGCACUCCCACUCCGGUCCCGCACGGCCCAUCACCCACUCCUGCAGCUACUCCAAGAAGAGGAAGAACCUGAAAAGACAGGGGAGCAAGAGGAAGGCGGUGAAGAGGAGCCAGCGGGUUGGCAAAACACAGAGGUGGCACUCAGGGCGGAAACACAACUGAGAGGCACCCCGCGGCUCAUUCCUGUGUCGGUUUCACCCAAAUGAGGACGCCAUCCCGCGUGGAACACUAGAAGGAAAGCGUUCUGCAGGAACACGUUAACUACAGGGAUUUCUAUGCAACACUGAUUAAAGCUUGCACACUGGAUGACUCUUCUUGUGUUGGCAUUUUAAUUGCACUAAAGGUGUCUAGCGUUCGGGGCCCUGGUUUGGAAGCAGGAAGCCGGGAAGAUGCUGCAUAGGGAGUAGGGACAGGCCACGUGACCUCAGGAAAGCAUAAGGAGCUAAUGCUGGCACAGGGGCAGAAACGAAUGAGGGGUGGGGACUCCGAGGAGCCUGUGAAGUAGACAAGCAACACUCUGCUUGGGCAGAGCCCUCCUGGGUGCACACACAGGGGAUGUCCAUGGGCCCGCACACUGUUUAUGUGCUCCCCACGCAAUAGUCCACCCAGGAGCAUGGCGGGAGACAGGCGGGAAGAGGGUCAGGAAUGUGCAUUCUGCAGUCCAGAGCAUCCUGAAUUUGAAUCCUGGAUCACUGAGUUGCCCUGCUGUGUGACCUUGGGCUGGGGAUGAACCUCUCUGAGCCACACUUGUUUCAACAAACUUUUACUAAGGAACCGAAUGUGUCUGGGGGCUGUGCUAGGCUCUGCGAACGCAGAAGACACACAAGGCCCUGUGACAAGGUCCAGCGUGUUUCUAAAGAUGCUGUUGGAGGCUGUUGUCGAGGACAGAAGGGACAAGAGAAAGAGCUGCUAGCCGGGUGUGGCCAGGAGAGAGGGACCACUGGCCUGGACGGAAGGGUGACACCGGAGAUCUUCCGAGACAGGGAUGACGGGUCUACUGGCAGCUUCUCAUCAAGCCUUCCGAGGACAGCCGAGGAGCCAGCCUGUCACCACCUGGAGUCCAGCCACCGCUCCUGUCAUCGCUCCGGGGCCGGUCAGGCUCCUCUGUCCCAGAGAAGUUUCUCCUUGGGCUGGAGUGUCCCCACAGCACAUCCCUCCCCCACUGAGACAUGCCAUCUUUCAGGCUGUCGGGGCCACCGGCACAGCAAAGCCACCUCUCCAGGCGGGGUCUGGCCAACCCCCGGGGCCCCCCCCAGAUCACCUCCACCAAGUCCCACCGGCUCCAGGAGAGCCUUUCUCAGCUGGCCAAUGGCGACAUGAAGCUUCCACCUCACAACCAGGGGCAGAGCAAAUAAGGCGACAGACCCCAAAGCUGCCACCUGGCCCCGCCCCAGCAGGGGCUCGCUCGGCAAACAGCCGUUCCUUCCCAGGUCUCCCGGGGUACGGGGGCUGAGCCCAGAACCCAGGCCGUGGACUCCCCGAGCAGUGCUCUCUUCCACAAAGCAUCAACGUCCCAGUGUGGCACCCAUUUCAGGGGCUAGCGUGGCGACCCCCACAGGGGUCAGGGAUCAACAUGGGGUGUGUUCCAAGGCCUCUACUGCAGGUCAUUGAGGCUAACGCCACAGCUGCCUGGAAGGCCAGCGCCAGGCAGCUCUGCCCACACCCAAUCCUGCAGUGUCUCCUGCAAUUAGGGGGAAAAUCCAAAUGCCUCCACCCCUACAAGGGCCUGCCCCCCCCCUCACUCUCCACACCAGCUACGCACGGCUCCCCCCAGGUUCUCCAGUGUGCCCAGCACUCCCACCACUGGGACUUCUUCUCUCUCCCUAGAGCCCUCUUUAUCCGGCUUCUAGAAAGACCUCAACUCUGCUGUCACCGCCUCCAAGAGGCCUUCCCUGACUGCCUUCUCUCACUCCUCCCGCACUGCACCAACAGCUCCUCGCUCCCUUUCUCCCUGUUCAUUGCCCCCCAGCACCUGCCACCAUCUGAGAUGAUGGCGUGAAUUCGCCGCCUGUCUGCUCGAAGACCCCUGGGCCCCUGGUGCCGGCAGAUAGGAGGCACUCUAUAAAUACUUGCAGAAUAAAUACUGAAGGAGGAAAAUAGAUACGCUAUUCCCCUUAUCCUGCAGAUGAGGAAACUGAGGCAUGGAGAAGCUUGCCCCAGGCCACAUGCUUAUUACGUGGCAGACUGAAACUCAGGCCGCUCAUGGCAGAAUCGAGGCUCUAAGCCACACAGCUCAGGGCCCCCAGAGGCACGGGCUCCCUUGGGAACCUAGGCUGCCCCGUGGGUUCGGAGAAAAGGCGGGCUGAGGGGCACGGGGGCAGAGGGCAGUUUCAGGAUUACAGGCCCUGUCCCGCGGCCACUGUUCCCAGCAGAACUGUGC
Molecule: long non-coding RNA, 3643 nt
Organism: Equus caballus (horse)
Lineage: Eukaryota; Metazoa; Chordata; Mammalia; Perissodactyla; Equidae
Source: Ensembl